This 396-nucleotide ribosomal RNA is filed under the name Hydra sp. RNAcentral describes it as "partial 18S ribosomal RNA". It matches the Rfam family "Eukaryotic small subunit ribosomal RNA", at positions 144 to 537 of the family's 1831-position model. Lineage: Eukaryota; Metazoa; Cnidaria; Hydrozoa; Anthoathecata; Hydridae. The record is from RNAcentral.
AUACCUGUGGUAAUUCUAGAGCUNAUACAUGCGAAAGAUCCCGACUUUCCGGAAGGGAUNUAUUUAUUAGACUAAAACCAAUGCGGGCCUCGGCUNGCUUGCUUGGUGAUUCAUGAUAACUUUUCGAAUCGCAUGGCCUUGCGCCGGCGAUGUUUCAUUCAAAUUUCUGCCCUAUCAACUGUCGAUGGUAAGGUAGUGGCUUACCAUGGUUGCAACGGGUGACGGAGAAUUAGGGUUCGAUUCCGGAGAGGGANCCUGAGAAACGGCUACCACAUCUAAGGAAGGCAGCAGGCACGAAAAUUACCCAAUCCCGAUUCGGGGAGGUAGUGACAAGAAAUAACGGUACNGGGGCCUUUAUAGGUCUCGCAAUMGGAAUGAGAACAAUUNNAAUCCUUU